UGGAAAAUUCCAAAGUCAGUUUCUCUGCUUCACUGAAAUGGUCAAGCUGACCUCUUAUCUCGUUACCUGGGUAACUGGAGCUAGUCAGCUAGCUAAAGUCAUAGCAUUCCAGUGGUUCCCAGAAGAAGGAGGGAGAAGUAAGGAAGACCAGGGAGAGAAGGAGAAAGGAGGGGUAAGAGAGAGACGCAGCAUGUGAAUGGGGAAAGAUGGACGACAUCAGAAAAGACACCGGAGAGUCUUUACUUUGAAAUGGACAUUAUAACAGGACUUUUCCUAUCGGGCUAUUGGAUUUUUGGAUUUUCCAGAAGUUUGCUUUCUCCACAGGCUGUGAUAGAACCAGUGACCACAGACAUGUUGGAACAGAAAUCAAAGGAGUGUGAUUUGUCCACAGUGUUACAUCUUAAUGCUGAUUUCCUGAAGAAACUUUGACUACAAUAGACAUGAAAAUGUGUUCAAAAGAUGAUGGAUAAAUUACUGUGUUGUACUAUAGCAUGCCUGGCAGAAGAUGAGUUUUUUAAAAUCUCCUAUUUGUCUUUUAGUUAUACAGAUUUAAUGUAAUUAUGAUUUAUAAAACUAUCUUUUGCCCUCCUUAA
Molecule: non-coding RNA, 593 nt
Organism: Pogona vitticeps (central bearded dragon)
Lineage: Eukaryota; Metazoa; Chordata; Lepidosauria; Squamata; Agamidae
Source: RefSeq, a predicted model, not a curated record